Molecule: long non-coding RNA, 1347 nt
Organism: Sander lucioperca (pikeperch)
Lineage: Eukaryota; Metazoa; Chordata; Actinopteri; Perciformes; Percidae
Exons: 5
Source: RefSeq, a predicted model, not a curated record
UAAUCUCCCCAAUCAUGAGGGAGAGCCAAGAGGAAAGGAAUUGUCAGAUUGUCACACCACAAACUGCCUUUUACUAUCGACACAUUUGAAUGGGAGGAGAAGUCUCAGUUCUCUAAAUCACCAUCUGUUCCAAGGCAGGAGAUCCUUGGAGGUAGGACCAUGUGUACCACGAUGGUGGUCCUGACCACCAUCGCUCUCAUCCUGAGGCAGAGAUUCUCCAGCAAAAUCAAACCGCAGAAAGAGCCCAUUGAGAAAGACGUGCCAUACAUGAAGAGCAAUGGAGCAGCAGAAACGCACAAAUGACAACAGUGAGCAUCACAAGUGAUAGAGACAGACAGGAAAAGCAAGGGAGAGAGAUGCUGCGGUAAGGACUCAGCCUUAAUGGUACGCUCCCGGGGCGCCCUGUUGAUUUACUGUAAUUCUUUGGAAUAUUGGGCUGAGGCAUGAUCAGGCCAUCAUCUCAAGACUGAUUUAUCUGCACACACAGCUCACGCCAAGACUCCCACCAGGAUUUUGAAAAAUAACAACAAUGAAGCCAGUCAAUGAAGUCAUGGCUUCCCCUAUCUGUCCUGCAUAUGCUCUCAUCACUGGAACAGGAAACAGCAACUGAGUGAAUUCCAGUUUGGAAAAUGAUGCCUGCUGCUUAUUCGUCAUGAAAAACUGAAUUUACAACACUGUCACUUCAAAGUUAGUUAUAUGAUCAGGGUACAAAGUGACAAAACAUGUUAUGUGCCUCUGCAUAAAAACAAGCAGUAAUCAUUUUGUUUGAUUUCAUGUUUGCUUGCUUUUAAAAAAAUGAAAAUGUAAUGAAUUGUUUUAAAUGUAUGUUGACUGUAUGUAUCUUAAAGAGCAGCUUCUCUUAAGAUCUCAUAAGUGACCUAAUUCCUUCUGAAAAAGGGGCUAAAGUCAUGUGUUGUAUUGUAAAUGGCAGGUACUGCCAUUCUGUUAAUCCCAUAAAGGUUUAUGUUCUCACAGGAGAAUCCAAAGGCUUAAAUAAAGCGAUGGAAUGACAUUUAUGUGCCGUUGUGUACUUCUGGAUGCCAAUGAAGAUUGUCUCUCGCAUGCACAAAGAAUAACUGUGCUUAAUUUGCUGAUGAUUUAUGUAAAAGGCAUACAUCUUCUAAUAAUAACAUCGGUGAAGCAUUUCUUUUUCUUGUUCACUUCAUUCUUCUGAGUUUGAAAUGGACAGUUUCAUUUCUUGACAAUUCAUAUUUGGUUGCAUACAGCUUUAUUAUCAUCCUGUGCUGUAAGCAAGCAUGUCUUUUGCCUCCAAAGAGAAAAACAAUUAUUUGACACUACAUAUGAUAUGUAGGCUGACAUUACAGUAAAUGGUGUUCUCCUUCAAAA